GACGAACGCUGGCGGCGUGCUUAACACAUGCAAGUNGAACGUGAAAGGGGCUUCGGCCUGAGUAAAGUGGCGCACGGGUGAGUAACACGUGGAUAAUCUACCCGAUGGNCCGGGAUANCACUNGAAAGGGGUGCUAAUACCGGAUAAGCCCACAGGCUCUUUGGAGNUGCGGGAAAAGGUGGGGNCCUUCGGGCCUACCGUCAUCGGAUGANUCCGCGNCCCAUNAGCUAGUUGGNUGGGGUAAUGGCCUACCAAGGCAACGAUGGUAGCUGUUCUGAGAGGAUGAUCAGCCCACACCUGGGAACUGAGACACGGUCCCAGACUCCUACGGGAGNCAGCAGUGGGGAAUUUUUGNNNNNNGGGNNNAANNGCCUGACGCAGCAACGCCGCGUGAGUGAUGAAGGCCCUCGGGUCGUAAAGCUCUGUCAGAGGGGAAGAAACUUUGAGGGAGAAUAUCCCUGAAACU
This 466-nucleotide ribosomal RNA is filed under the name bacterium enrichment culture DGGE gel band A15. RNAcentral's name for it is "partial 16S ribosomal RNA". It matches the Rfam family "Bacterial small subunit ribosomal RNA", at positions 28 to 474 of the family's 1533-position model. The record is from RNAcentral.